CAAAAGCCACGAAAUGCACAAUAGAGGACUGAGAGUUGGGAGUCAGAGGUUAAAAAAAUGAAAACCACAGUGAAAAGGGGGAAUGGAGUCUGAAGAUAGAGGUGCUGUCAGUUACCGUGAGUAAAAUAGAAAAGGGGAAAGUAAGAAAGGGAAAGUAAGAAAUCUAGGGUUUUAAAUAAAAGAGGGUUAAAAAAGUAAAUAACAAAAUACAAAAAAGAUUAUUUUAAUAAUAUAGAAAAAAUUAAAAAAAAUGGGGAGGUGGAAGGCCAAAAGUAGAGGUGCAGGAUCGACGCCCUUUGUACUUUUAGGUCUAAUGUGGGCCCAUUAGUCAUGAUAACCAUGUUAUCCAAGAGAAAAACCUUGAACAAAAUAUAUGUGGGGGUUACUCCCUGUACCUCCCCAAUUCCAUCCCCCACCCCCCAAUUUUUUUGGAUUUUUUUUAAAUACAAAAAUAACCUUUUUGUUUUUUUUUUUUUUUACCUUUAUAC
Molecule: long non-coding RNA, 488 nt
Filed under: Vigna radiata
Lineage: Eukaryota; Viridiplantae; Streptophyta; Magnoliopsida; Fabales; Fabaceae
Description: long non-coding RNA (VRAD_LNC003032)
Source: RNAcentral